This is a long non-coding RNA of Lineus longissimus, 427 nucleotides long. RefSeq lists it as uncharacterized. The transcript is spliced from 3 exons. Lineage: Eukaryota; Metazoa; Nemertea; Pilidiophora; Heteronemertea; Lineidae. The record is from RefSeq and is a predicted model, not a curated record.
AGGAGAGUCACCAUGAUAGUUCUCUGCUUUGUGCUGCCAGUUUUGAAGAUUUCACAGAUAUGUUUCAGAGCAUAGAUGCCACAUUGACCCGUCAACAACCUGCCGUGACAGUCAUUCCGUCAGCCAGAAAGAGUCUCCUUCCCUCUUCUACAGUACCGAAUUAAGCGUUUGCUCUGCACUUAGAGGUGAUUUUCUCCAGGGAGUAUUCCUCCUCCAAGGCGGGAUGAGCGUAUUUGCAUGCCACUACGGUCGGACGCCAAUUGGGUUAUUGACCUAGUGACUUCGACUUCGGCCAGGCCAAGUGACUCAGACUUCGGCCAGAGGUAGAGUCCACGCUGACUGGACAGGACUGUGAAGAGCCAAGUAUUUUAUAUUCUUGAAAGCCAUGCUGGUUCAUCUAGAAAUACAAUCCCGGGUUCAACCAGAA